GGACUACUGGGAACUAUCAAUGUCGGAGAGACUAACAACCUGAACCAAAGCCACAACAAGUUCUGGAUCCAGCCCUGAAUUCUGCCCCUGAGACCCAUCUUUGCUUUGUAUGAGUGACAGAAAAAUUAUGUAUUUCUAGGUUUUAUUACCAGAGAAAGGUACUUUAUGUUGUGGAUAUUCAACCUAUUGGCAUGACUUGAUGAUAUUGAUGAAGUGUGAAGGUUAUGUUCCUGGGUACUAAUUCUUCUAGCAAGCCAGUGGUGAGGAAUAUCCCCUGAUACUGCUUACUUCUCUCUGGACCUUUUGUUGGUACCUCUAAAAUCAGGAGAAUAUUCCUAAGAAUGUCAAUAGGAGCAAGACCAUGUCCCACUGUGGCAAAGCCAAGACUUUGCUCAGGAGCAUGCUACACCAAGAAAUUGUUACUGAAGCAAUGUGCUUUACAGUUUUGUGUAGGAAAAUCCAAGGACUGAGUUAAUGUCGGGAUUCCUCUAUUCUAUACGGUAGUGCAUUGCAGGUAGAAGUCAAAAUAAAAUGCCAUGACUGAUACCAGACAUUUAUCAUAUGUAGCAACAUCUCUUCUGGAAUUUGUUUCCUUCUUCAGCAGCUAUUCACCUGCAUCUGAACCAAAAUCCUCCUCCUCCUUGCAAUUCUAUGUCAUGUGAGAGAAGCCUGUAAAAACAAGGUAUUGUACACAAACAUUGUCAGAUAAUAAAUCCAUUAAAAUAAUCUGAUACAUAUUUUUCAGUUAAAACACAAAAAUGAAAUCAACACCAAAUUGCUAUGUGAUGUUAUACAGCUCCUUACACUUCGAAUUUUUUUGUGCUAAUUCUCCAAAUGGAUUAGCUUCAUAUUGCUCAUUACAAGCCAUAUGCAGUCACCCACAUAAAACAUCCUACUUUUUUUGUAAAAGCCAGUACUGGUAGAAUGCGCUCAUCACCAGAAU
Cuculus canorus (common cuckoo) is the source of this 943-nucleotide long non-coding RNA. RefSeq lists it as uncharacterized. The transcript has 3 exons. The record is from RefSeq and is a predicted model, not a curated record. NCBI's taxonomy places the organism in Eukaryota, Metazoa, Chordata, Aves, Cuculiformes, Cuculidae.